Molecule: non-coding RNA, 73 nt
Organism: Salmo salar (Atlantic salmon)
Lineage: Eukaryota; Metazoa; Chordata; Actinopteri; Salmoniformes; Salmonidae
Source: Rfam
GUCCGUGUUGCUCAGUUGGUAGAGCAUGGCACUUGCAAUGCCAGGGUUGUCGGUUCAAUUCUCACAAGGGACC